UAGCGGGGGUAAAAGGGCGUAUGGCGGAUGGCUCGAGAUAAAAUGGGCGACGAAGGGCGUGGCGUGACUGCGUUAAGCUUGGGGGAGGUGUCUAGCAACCUUUGAUCCCAAGAUUUCCGAAUGGGGAAACCCGUUCCGACGAUAAGUCGGAACGCCCCGACUGAAACGUCGGGGCGCGAACCCGCUGAAGUAAAACAUUUCAGUAAGCGGAGGAAAAGAGAAUAAUAAUUUAUUCCCCCAGUAGCGGCGAGCGAAAAGGGAAGAGCCCAGAUCUUUUCUAGUUUUCUAGUUUACUAGUUGGCUAGUUAAGAAGUAGUAAGUUUAGUCCGUCCCGAGAGGGGGAGAGUUCAAGUAUUAAGGUUUGUCUAGCAGAACGGCCCUGGAAAGGCCGGCCAAAGAGGGUAAUAGCCCCGUAAGCGAAAGUCACCUUUGACUCUCUGGACUAAACCCCCACACCAAAAUUUUUUGGUGUGGGGGUGAACUUGAGUACCUCGAAAAAUGUGUAGUUCGGGGGAAUCUGCCGGCACGAGCCGGUAAGGCUAAAUACCAUUUAUCAUCGAUAGUGAACCAGUACCGUGAGGGAAAGUUGAAAAGCAGCCCGGUGAGGGCGGUGAAAUAGUACCUGAAACCAUAUGCUUACAAGGAGUCGGAGCCCCGAUGCGCAAGCAUCGAGGGUAACGGCGUGCCUAUUGAAGAAUGAGCCAACGACUUAUUCAGCAUCUUUUGUCUAAGGGCGCAGAGCCCGGAGGCGAAGGGAAACCGAGUCUUAAAAGGGCGAUUUUGGUAUUUAUUUAUCAAAAAAGGUGCUGGAUAGACCCGAAGCCGGAUGAGCUUGCCAUGGCCAGGGUGAACCCCGCCGAAAGGCGGGGGGAGGCCCGAACCGUUUAGCCGUUCAAUACUAUCGGAUGAGCUGUGGCAAGGAGUGAAAAGCUAAUCGAAUUCGGUAAUAGCUGGUUCUCUCCGAAAUAGCUUUAGGGCUAGCGUCCGCCAAAAAUUAGCAGGUAGAGCUACUAGAAGGUUCGUAUAGGGCGAAAGCUCGACGAUCCUACUAAACUCCGAAUGGCUAAUCUAUUUAGGCGGAUAGUCAGACUAUGGGGGCUAAGCUCCAUUGGUCAAAAGGGAAACAGCCCAGAUCUCAAUCUAAGGUCCCUAAAUUUCUGCUAAGUGCAAAGAAGGUGGUGGAGUUUCUUAAACAGCGAGGAGGUUGGCUUAGAAGCAGCCAUCCUUUAAAGAGUGCGUAACAGCUCACUCGUCAAGAGACUUCGCGCCGAAAAUUAUCGGGGCUAAGCAGAGUACCGAAGGUGAGAAUUUUGUCCUAAACUUAGUUUGGGACAGAGUGGUAGGAGAGCGUUCCAAAUGCAGUGAAGCCCACGGCGCGAGCCGGAGUGGAGCGUUUGGAAGCGAGAAUGUUGGCACAAGUAACCACAAGUCCGGUGAAAGCCCGGACCACCGAAAACCCAAGGUUUCCUUGGCAAUGACAAUCAGCCAAGGGUUAGUCGGCCCUAAGCCAAUGGCGAAAGCCGGAGGCGAUGGACAGCAGGUUAAUAUUCCUGCACUGCGUAUAGUUUUGACGGCAGGACGGAGUCUAGUAUGCAAAGCGCAUUAUUGGAUUUGCGUUCGGGCUUUGAGGAUAGAGCGCAGGCAAAUCCGCGCUCAAGCGCUUUAAUGCGCGUUAUCCAAGAAGAGCGAAAAUUUUUUCCGCAAGGUUAAGAAAUUUUGCAAAGCAGGCUUCCCAGAAAAAUGUCUAAAAUUAUCUAUACGCAACCGUACCGAAAUCCGACACAGGUGGGUAGGUCGAGUAGACCAAGGUGAACGAGUGAAAGAUCCCCAAGGAACUCGGCAAAAAAGCAUCCGUAAGUUCGCAAUAUGGAUUUCCCGACCUCGCAAGAGUGUCGGGACGCAGCGAAAGUACCCCUGGCGACUGUUUAACAAAAACACAGCUCCCUGCAAACUCGUAAGAGGAAGUAUAGGGGGUGACGCCUGACCAAUGCGAGAAGGUUAACGCUGGCGUUCCUCCGACGUUACGUCGGAGGGGUGACCGGCCGAAGCCCUCGUCAAUGUCGGCCGUAACUAUAGAAAUUUGUCCGUUGUAGUUACGUUAAAAAAUCUCGCUAUAUGCGGGAAACUCUGGCAGGAUUCACAGCUACUCAUCGCAGUCGAGCGAAAGUAACAAUGCUGUGAUGCAGACAAUCCGCAGGAAACUUCUUUGAUUAAAAAAUCAAAUGACUGAAUGGAUAAAAACCAUUGAUCCAAAAAUCGGUUAUUACAUAGCCGGAUUUACAGACGGAGAAGGAAGCUUCAAUGUUUCUGUAAAAAAAGAAAUGAUUAUAAGGAUCAAUGGAAACUUACAGCUUCGUUUAACAUCUCUCAAAAAGAUCGCGUAAUCUUAGCGCAAAUCAAAAACGUGCUUGGAUGCGGGACUUUAAGAGAAAGACCGGAUGGAGUUGUGUACUACGAAGUGACCAAUGUUCGGUCGCUUCAAGAAAAAAUUAUUCCUUUCUUUGAGCGGUUUGGGUUUCUAUCCGCAAAUAAAAAAAGAAACUUCUCGAUUUUCAGAAAAAUUGUUGAGGCAAUGGCAAAAAACGAACAUCUUACAAGAGAUGGCUUCAGAAGAAUUUUGCAAUUGCGCGAAACAUUAAAUGAAGGUCGGGGCAGAAAGCGUAAAUAUCAAUUAUCAGAUGUUUACAAAGAAGGCUCCUCAGAGACUAUACGCGAGACCCCGCCAUCGGCGGGGAAGAUAUAGUCCGAUCUCAUGGGCGACUAUGAGCUAACACAAAUAAACGGUCCUAAGGUGGAAUGCCUGCCUUAGUAAAAUUCUGCUGUAUCGGUGAACACCCGCCAACAUCUGCGAAGUUGUGGCGGGCAAUACCGAGGGAAGUGCGAAUACUGAUUUUUGGAAAAAAUAAAAAAAGGAAAAAGGGUCAACUUUUUGACCCCUUAAAAACCCUGCGAAAAUCUUCGAUAAACUUUAUUACGGCGUAAAUCAGAACUGCUGCCACUCCUACAGACAAUAAGCUAGCCACGAUAUAUAGCGAAGUUUGCAUGGCUUGUCCCUCCUCUGUCUUAAAGUUAUCAUAUAUUGUUUAUUAUGUCAAGUACCCAAAUUUGACUCCAAAAAUCAGUAUUCGUACCCCGUAGAGACUAUACGCAGAAGUCGCCUCAGGCGACAAGAUAUAGUCCGACCUCCGUGGCAACACGGAGAGCUAACCAGAAAUGAGUUAGCCCGUAAUGUUUUGGUCAAUUGCCAAAUGUUAAUUGUCAAUUGUCCAAUUGUUACGCAGUAACAAUUGUGAGCGCAAUUCCUUGUCAGGUGAGUUCUGACGCGCACGAAAGGCGUAACGACUGGGGGACUGUCUCGGGGAUUUGCUCGGUGAAAAUGCGAUACCGGUGAAGAUGCCGGUUAGGUGUAGUUAGACGAAAAGACCCCGGAAGCUUUACUGCAAGUUGUUAUUGGCUUUACGUUUUUACUACGUAGCGUAGUGGGGAGCCGUUGAAAUCCCGCUUUUGGGCGGGACGGAGGCGCCAAUGAAACACCCAUUUUUAAAAAUGUAAAAUCUAACUCCGACGGCAAAAACGUCGGAGGACAGUAGCUGCUGGGCAGUUUGUGUGGGGCGCAAUCCUCCUAAAAAGUAACGGAGGAGUUUAUUAAGGUCGGCUUAGCGCGGAUGGACAUCGCGCCGGACCUGUAAGAGGAAAAGCCGGCUUAACUGCGAGGGGGGCAUCCCGAGCAGGUGGGAAACCAGAAUCUAGUGAACCGACCGUUGGCACUCGAUGCCGCGGAAGAUUAACGGAUAAAAGCUACUCCGGGGAUAACAGGCUAGUUCCGUCCAAGCGUCCAUAGCGACGACGGAGUUCGGCACCUCGAUGUCGGCUCAUCUUAUCCUGGGGGUGGAGAAGCUCCCAAGGGUUUGGCUGUUCGCCAAUUAAAAAGGUACGUGAGCUGGGUUCAGACCGUCGUGAGACAGGUUGGACUCCUAUCUACUACACCCGUUGAUUCUUGAGGGGGGUUCUUCCUAGUACGAGAGGACCGGAAGGAGGCGACCUCUGGUUUGCCUGCUCUGCCGCCAGGCGGAACGCAGGGUGGCUAAGUCGCUAAGUGAUAAGCGCUGAAAGCAUCUAAGCGCGAAGCACGCCCCAAGAUUAGGAAUUAUUGAUUCCUCGAAGACUACGAGGUUGAUAGGCUCUAGGUGUAAGGACCGCAAGGCCUUAAGCCGAGGAGUACUAAUAGAUCAAACAACCUGAUAAG
Molecule: ribosomal RNA, 4246 nt
Filed under: Candidatus Giovannonibacteria bacterium
Lineage: Bacteria; Candidatus Giovannoniibacteriota
Description: 23S ribosomal RNA
Rfam family: Bacterial large subunit ribosomal RNA
Source: RNAcentral